GGCCUGUGUACAGAGCGCGCGUCUCAGGAGAGACUCCAGUUUUCGUCAGACGGUCAAGGGAGCAGUGACCACCCCCCACCCCCCAAGCAGUAAGAACAAGUCACCUGAGGCCGAUCUUCUGCCCGGGCCACCGGCCCCACCCCAGAAGCCGCCACAGGAAACUUUCAAGCGCUAAUUCGAAAAAGAAAUGUUUACAGGACUUCCGCCAAGUCAAAGAAAAGCACCGGCAGCUGCCCUCUCUCUGCCGCACAGGACUGCUCGGUGCCCCGCUCCUCACCCCGACCCACCCCACGACACAGCCGCCACGGCCGCCCCACACGUCCAGCCCAGGUCCACGGCCUUCCCUCCGGCCACCAUGGCCUCCCUCGCCCCGCUGGUCCCCGUGGCCCCAGAAGUGCCCACGUCCCUCACUGCCCGUCGGCCAGGGCCCUCGCUGUGGGCACCCAAGCACUCGGCCGUCCACCUGAGGAGCGUCCCUCAAGUCCGGGUCCCGCGCCGAGCCCUGCGUGCCUGCGGUCUCUGGUCGUCAAACCCACCGGGUGGGGUGGCAUUUUUAUGAAGUUCACACGGUGACAAUUAUGCUUCCACAGUAAAACUUUAACCAUGCUCUACUCCUCCUCCCCUCCCCCACUGCCCGUUCCAGACGCCAGGACCCCUCCCC
Long non-coding RNA from Lynx canadensis (Canada lynx), 661 nucleotides. RefSeq lists it as uncharacterized. The transcript has 3 exons. The record is from RefSeq and is a predicted model, not a curated record. Lineage: Eukaryota; Metazoa; Chordata; Mammalia; Carnivora; Felidae.